UACGUAGGGGGCAAGCGUUGUCCGGAUUUAUUGGGCGUAAAGCGCUCGCAGGCGGUUGCGUGCGUCGAAUGUGAAAGCCCCUGGCUCAACCGGGGAGGGUCAUUCGAUACUGCUCGACUCGAAGGCAGGAGAGGGAAGCGGAAUUCCCGGUGUAGUGGUGAAAUGCGUAGAUAUCGGGAGGAACACCAGUGGCGAAGGCGGCUUUCUGGCCUGUUCUUGACGCUGAGGCGCGAAAGCUAGGGGAGCAAACGGG
Molecule: ribosomal RNA, 253 nt
Filed under: uncultured bacterium
Lineage: Bacteria
Description: partial 16S ribosomal RNA
Rfam family: Bacterial small subunit ribosomal RNA
Source: RNAcentral